GGGGUCGACUGGUUUUGACAGCGAGUGGAAUUGGACAGUAAGCACGUCGAGCGCCGGGACACAGCUCGUAAAUAUCAUGUUUCAAACUUAUAAACGGCGAAAAUAAUUACGCUUUAGCUGCUUAAUCCGAAUUAUAGUACGAUUUGCCUAGUUCUCGUUAGACGAGAAAGCUGGAUUCCUCUAAAAAGCCUUGGUUUAUGGCGUUUUGUUCAGGGGAACCGUAAAAGUAAACCUAGGAACGGUAAUGCUUUAAAUCCGUUCUGACAUUCAUAAAGCUAAGCAAAAAGUGGCGGUUUCCGGCCUUGCUUUUUGUCGAAAAUUUAAUCGGAAACUAAACGUGUAGAAAGCUCUUCGAUUGCUUGUUUGGACGAGAGUUCGAUUCUCUCCGACUCCACAA
Molecule: transfer-messenger RNA, 397 nt
Filed under: Flavobacterium sp.
Lineage: Bacteria; Pseudomonadati; Bacteroidota; Flavobacteriia; Flavobacteriales; Flavobacteriaceae
Also listed under: 2 other names
Rfam family: transfer-messenger RNA
About the family: Bacterial tmRNA, also known as 10Sa RNA or SsrA, is named for its dual tRNA and mRNA-like properties. Its role is to liberate the mRNA from a stalled ribosome.
Source: RNAcentral